UAUCAAGACAAAGUUUCAGGAUGGAGAUGCCAAAAGGAUAUGGAUUGAUUAUAUUUUGGCUUCAUCUUGGCUGGGCGAAUGGAGAAAACCAAGUGGAGCAGAGUCCUCGUUCACUGGAACUCCAGGAGGAAGGUGCCAGCUUCAUGAGUUGCACUUACUCAGUCAGUGGUUUUAAUAAUUUGCAGUGGUACAGGCAAGAUUCGGGGAAGGGUCCCCAGCACCUAUUCUCCAUGUAUUCACCUGGAGACGGGAAAUCGAAAGGCAGAGUAAGAGCUACGUUACAGAAGAAUGGAAGCAGCCUGCACAUCACAGCCUUGCAGCUUGAAGACUCAGCCACCUACUUCUGCGCUGUAGCCCCACAGUGCUCCCAGGCACCUGGGACCUGGACUUAAACCUGCAGCUGGGCAGGAGAAGCACAACAGAAGCA
Molecule: non-coding RNA, 427 nt
Organism: Tupaia belangeri chinensis (Chinese tree shrew)
Lineage: Eukaryota; Metazoa; Chordata; Mammalia; Scandentia; Tupaiidae
Source: the annotation of a RefSeq genome assembly